This 442-nucleotide ribosomal RNA is filed under the name uncultured bacterium. Its description in RNAcentral is "partial 16S ribosomal RNA". It matches the Rfam family "Bacterial small subunit ribosomal RNA", at positions 338 to 795 of the family's 1533-position model. The record is from RNAcentral.
CCUACGGGUGGCAGCAGUGGGGAAUAUUGGGCAAUGGGGGCAAGCCUGAUGCAGCAACGCCGCGUGAAGGAAGAAGGCUUUCGGGUUGUAAACUUCUUGUAAGAUGGAAGAGAAUAAGACGGUUCCUAUUAAAUAAGCCACGGCUAACUACGUGCCAGCAGCCGCGGUAAUACGUAGGGGGCAAGCGUUGUCCGUUUUUACUGGCUGUAAGGGGCGUGCAGCCGGGAUGCCGAGUCAGAUGUGAAAUCCCGCGGCUCAACCGCGGUACGGCAUAUGAAACUGUUUUACUGGAGUACGGGAGGGGUAAUCGGAAUUCCUUGUGUAGCGGUGAAAUGCGUAGAUAUAAGGAAGAACACCCGUGGCGAAGGCGGGUGCCUGGACGGCAACUGACGCUGAGGCACGAAAGCGAGGGGAGCGAAAAGGAUUAGAUACCCCAGUAGUC